RNAcentral lists this ribosomal RNA (502 nucleotides) under uncultured bacterium. RNAcentral describes it as "partial 16S ribosomal RNA". It matches the Rfam family "Bacterial small subunit ribosomal RNA", at positions 30 to 523 of the family's 1533-position model. The record is from RNAcentral.
AUUGAACGCUGGCGGAAUGCUUUACACAUGCAAGUCGAACGGCAGCACGGGAGCUUGCUCCUGGUGGCGAGUGGCGAACGGGUGAGUAAUAUAUCGGAACGUAUCCAAUAAUGGGGGAUAACUAGUCGAAAGAUUAGCUAAUACCGCAUACGCCCUGAGGGGGAAAGCUAGGGACCGCAAGGCCUGGCGUUAAUGCAGCGGCCGAUAUCUGAUUAGCAAGUUGGUGAGGUAAAGGCUCACCAAGGCGACGAUCAGUAGCUGGUCUGAGAGGACGACCAGGCACACUGGAACUGAGACACGGUCCAGACUCCUACGGGAGGCAGCAGUGGGGUAUUUUGGACAAUGGGCGCAAGCCUGAUCCAGCCAUUCCGCGUGAGUGAAGAAGGCCUUCGGGUUGUAAAGCUCUUUCGCAAGGGAAGAAAACUUAUCCUCUAACAUAGGAUGAGGUUGACGGUACCUUGAUAAGAAGCACCGGCUAACUACGUGCCAGCCGCCGCCGUAA